This 468-nucleotide ribosomal RNA is filed under the name uncultured bacterium. RNAcentral describes it as "partial 16S ribosomal RNA". It matches the Rfam family "Bacterial small subunit ribosomal RNA", at positions 28 to 507 of the family's 1533-position model. The record is from RNAcentral.
GACGAACGCUGGCGGCGUGCUUAACACAUGCAAGUCGAACGGAAAGGCCCUGCUUUUGUGGGGUGCUCGAGUGGCGAACGGGUGAGUAACACGUGAGUAACCUGCCCUUGACUUUGGGAUAACUUCAGGAAACUGGGGCUAAUACCGGAUAGGAGCUCCUGCUGCAUGGUGGGGGUUGGAAAGUUUCGGCGGUUGGGGAUGGACUCGCGGCUUAUCAGCUUGUUGGUGGGGUAGUGGCUUACCAAGGCUUUGAAGGGUAGCCGGCCUGAGAGGGUGACCGGCCACAUUGGUACUGAGAUACGGCCCAGACUCCUACGGGAGGCAGCAGUGGGGAAUAUUGCACAAUGGGCGGAAGCCUGAUGCAGCAACGCCGCGUGCGGGAUGACGGCCUUCUGGUUGUAAACCGCUUUCGCCUGUGACGAAGCGUGAGUGACGGUAAUGGGUAAAGAAGCACCGGCUAACUACGUG